This is a long non-coding RNA of Helianthus annuus (common sunflower), 566 nucleotides long. RefSeq lists it as uncharacterized. NCBI's taxonomy places the organism in Eukaryota, Viridiplantae, Streptophyta, Magnoliopsida, Asterales, Asteraceae. The transcript has 4 exons. The record is from RefSeq and is a predicted model, not a curated record.
GAAACUAGAAGGACUAAAAGGGUUAAGUGUGAAAGUAAUUAUUAUUAAAACAAAAAUCAAAAACCCCAAACACACAUUCUGGUCGUGAUUUACACAGGAGCAAAAAGGGAUUCUUGAUCAAAACCCUAAAUCACAAGAAAUUCAGCCAAAUCAAGGGAAAUGAAGCUAGGAAAUUGGGGCUUUAACUAAAAUCAUGAUCACCCAGCUUAGGGGAUCACAAGUUGACUCUAAACAAGCUAGGUGGGAGCUUGGAAAGGAACGGGUCAAACGGAUCAUGGAUGCGAAGAAUGUUUGCGCGGACGCGAGUCAUAUGUUUACAGGAACGAAUAGAAUUUUGGAUAAUUGCGUCAUCAUAGAAUAUUGAAUUAAUAAUAGCAAGGCAUAAACGGGUCUAUACGUUGACUCGAGCCAGGUACAUUUUGGAUGCCGGAAGACGAUCAAGCUCAACGAAGAACCGAACACGAUAAAGAUACAUGCUUCCGCACAUUGCCUCGUCGUAAAUUUUAAACGACGAAUUCGAUUACGCUAUGUUGAAUAACUUAUGAUUUGUAAAGUUUUAACGAACC